This 254-nucleotide ribosomal RNA is filed under the name uncultured bacterium. RNAcentral describes it as "partial 16S ribosomal RNA". It matches the Rfam family "Bacterial small subunit ribosomal RNA", at positions 524 to 776 of the family's 1533-position model. The record is from RNAcentral.
UACGUAGGGUGCGAGCGUUGCCCGGAUUUACUGGGCGUAAAGGGCGCGUAGGCGGUCGUGACAAGUCACUUGUGAAAUCUCCGGGCUUAACUCGGAACGGUCAAGUGAUACUGUCGGACUAGAGUACAGAAGGGGCAACUGGAAUUCUCGGUGUAGCGGUGAAAUGCGUAGAUAUCGAGAGGAACACCUGCGGCGAAGGCGGGUUGCUGGGCUGACACUGACGCUGAGGCGCGAAAGCUAGGGGAGCGAACGGG